GAUUAAGUUAUUAAGGGCGCACGGUGGAUGCCUUGGCACUAGAAGCCGAUGAAGGACGUUACUAACGACGAUAUGCUUUGGGGAGCUGUAAGUAAGCUUUGAUCCAGAGAUU
RNAcentral lists this ribosomal RNA (112 nucleotides) under Staphylococcus aureus. Its description in RNAcentral is "partial 23S ribosomal RNA". It matches the Rfam family "Bacterial large subunit ribosomal RNA", at positions 1 to 112 of the family's 2925-position model. The record is from RNAcentral. RNAcentral also lists the same sequence under 1 other name. Lineage: Bacteria; Bacillati; Bacillota; Bacilli; Caryophanales; Staphylococcaceae.